Molecule: ribosomal RNA, 253 nt
Filed under: uncultured bacterium
Lineage: Bacteria
Description: partial 16S ribosomal RNA
Rfam family: Bacterial small subunit ribosomal RNA
Source: RNAcentral
UACGGAGGGGGCGAGCGUUAUUCGGAAUUAUUGGGCGUAAAGGGCGCGUAGGCGGCUGUACAAGUCAAAGGUGAAAUCCCUCGGCUCAACUGAGGAACUGCCUUUGAAACUGUACGGCUUGAGGCCGGGAGGGGGUAGCGGAAUUCCCAGUGUAGCGGUGAAAUGCGUAGAUAUCGUUUGGAACGCCGAUGGUGAAAACAGGUCGCUGGGGUUGUGCUGACGCUGAGACACGAAAGCCAGGGGAGCGAACGGG